GAGGGUAUAACUCAGUGGUAGAGCGCAUGCUUAGCAUGCAUGAGGUCCUGGGUUCAAUCCCUAGUACCUCCA
This 72-nucleotide transfer RNA is filed under the name Camelus dromedarius (Arabian camel). It matches the Rfam family "tRNA". Rfam says of the family: Transfer RNA (tRNA) molecules are approximately 80 nucleotides in length. Their secondary structure includes four short double-helical elements and three loops (D, anti-codon, and T loops). RNAcentral also lists the same sequence under 1 other name. The record is from Rfam by way of RNAcentral. Lineage: Eukaryota; Metazoa; Chordata; Mammalia; Artiodactyla; Camelidae.